Molecule: ribosomal RNA, 522 nt
Filed under: Sedimentisphaerales bacterium
Lineage: Bacteria; Pseudomonadati; Planctomycetota; Phycisphaerae; Sedimentisphaerales
Description: partial 23S ribosomal RNA
Rfam family: Bacterial large subunit ribosomal RNA
Source: RNAcentral
AAGCAGGACCUAGUGAUCCGGUGGUACAGUGUGGAAUGGCCAUCGCUCAACAGAUAAAAGGUACUCUGGGGAUAACAGGCUUAUCUCCCCCGAGCGUUCAUAGCGGCGGGGAGGUUUGGCACCUCGAUGUCGGCCCAUCACAUCCUGGGGCUGAAGGCGGUCCCAAGGGUCGGGCUGUUCGCCCGUUAAAGUGGUACGCGAGCUGGGUUCAGACCGGCGCGAGCCAGGUCGGUCCCUAUCUGCCGUGGGCGUUGGAAUCUUGAGGAGAUAUUUCCCUAGUACGAGAGGAUUGGGAAGUACUGACCGCUGGUGUACCGGUUGUCCCGCUAGGGGCAUCGCCGGGUAGCUAUGUCGGGAAAGGAUAACCGCUGAAAGCAUCUAAGCGGGAAGCCCACUCCAAGAUGAUGAUUCCGGUCCCUUCGGGGACGAAGAGCCCUGGAAGACUACCAGGUUGAUAGGCCGGGUGUGUAAGAUAUGAAAAUAUUUUAGCUAACCGGUACUAAUGCUCAACUACUUGACCAU